Molecule: non-coding RNA, 72 nt
Organism: Bos taurus (domestic cattle)
Lineage: Eukaryota; Metazoa; Chordata; Mammalia; Artiodactyla; Bovidae
Source: Rfam
UCCCUGGUGGCUCAGAGGUUAAAGCGUCUGCCUGCAAUGUGGGAGACUCGGGUUUGAUCCCUGAGUUGGGAA